AUUGAACGCUGGCGGUAUGCUUAACACAUGCAAGUCGAACGGUAACAUGAUUAGCUUGCUAAUUGAUGACGAGUGGCGGACGGGUGAGUAACGCGUAGGAAUUUACCUUUCGGUGGGGGAUAGCCCGGUGAAAACCGGAUUAAUACCGCAUAAGCCCUACGGGGGAAACGAGGCCACUUCUUGAAAGCUUCGACCGAUAGAUGAGCCUGUGUUAGAUUAGCUAGUUGGUAAGGUAAUGGCUUACCAAGGCGACGAUCUAUAGCUGGUCUGAGAGGAUGAUCAGCCACACUGGGACUGAGACACGGCCCAGACUCCUACGGGAGGCAGCAGUGGGGAAUAUUGGACAAUGGGCGCAAGCCUGAUCCAGCAAUACCGCGUGUGUGAAGAAGGCUUUCGGGUCGUAAAGCACUUUCAGUAGGGAGGAAAGGGUUGUAGUUAAUACCUGCAAUCUGUGACGUACCUACAGAAGAAG
This 472-nucleotide ribosomal RNA is filed under the name uncultured Gammaproteobacteria bacterium. RNAcentral describes it as "bacterial SSU rRNA". It matches the Rfam family "Bacterial small subunit ribosomal RNA", at positions 30 to 490 of the family's 1533-position model. Lineage: Bacteria; Pseudomonadati; Pseudomonadota; Gammaproteobacteria. The record is from RNAcentral.